RNAcentral lists this transfer RNA (77 nucleotides) under Candidatus Saccharimonadota bacterium. RNAcentral's name for it is "tRNA-His". It matches the Rfam family "tRNA". Rfam says of the family: Transfer RNA (tRNA) molecules are approximately 80 nucleotides in length. Their secondary structure includes four short double-helical elements and three loops (D, anti-codon, and T loops). Lineage: Bacteria; Candidatus Saccharimonadota. The record is from RNAcentral.
GUGGCUGUAGCUCAGUUGGUUAGAGCGUCGGGUUGUGGUUCCGAAGGCCGUGGGUUCGAGACCCAUCAGCCACCCCA